UGAGGUCUGGUGUUCAGAGCCUGUGUCGUGGCAGAGUCCUCUUCCUGUUGCCGCUGGAGGGCUGUUAGUCAUCCAGGUGGUUUUAGGGAAGAAAAAUAGAUGAUUCACCUGAACAUUUUCACUACCAGAAGCCGUACAAUGUGGAAAUGCUCCAUGUUCCAGGAUCAUGUUUUAAAACAUGCAGAGAAAACUACUGCACAACAAAAUUGGCAAGAGAUAAAUUGGACUGAAGAGGAGGAAACUCUGCUUUGAUGUUCAGCGGUGUUCAACAUAGCUGAAUCACAUAGCUGAACCCCCAGCCAAAAUAGAAACACCUGGAUUGCUACCUGUUUUUUGUAUAUUUGUGCCCAGUCUUUCCUAGUGCUGUGUAUGGAACAUAAUGUCUUUUGAGCCAAGGCUAGUUCGCACAUGCAUGUGUGUGCAUCGCUGGACAAUUUGCCACUCAAAAAACCAGGCCUGGUGCCAUGACCUGGUCCCCUUGAGGAGCUGCUGGUGCUGCCAUAUGAACUGGUUCAGAGGUAAAACACUGUGGUCCAAGUGAUCUUUUUUGUCAAUGCAAUCCUUAAAAAGCUAUAGCCUGUUUAUUGGUUCAGCAUUGCAGCGUUAGCAAUGGUUUGUAGCCAUCAUGCCGCAUCACUUGAUGAUUGCAACUUCAAGUGGGUGCCAAGACAGGUCUAGUUAAAAUCCACCCUCCCCUGUGACAUUACUGCAUAGCCUUAGGCGAGCUGUUCUCCCAGCCUCCAGCGAUUGGCUCUAAAAGUCUUUAAAGCAGCCUGCCCAAACCUUGUGCCUUUCAGAUUUUGGACUCUAACUCCCAUCAGCCCCAGCCAUCAUGGACAGUGGUCAGGAAUGCCAGGAGCUGUUGUCCAAAACAUCUGUUGAGCACCAGGUUGGGGAAAGCUGGUGGCCCCCAGACUGUGGAAUGAUCUCCCUGAUGAGGCUCGCCUGGCGCCAACGCUGCUAUCCUUCCGGCACCAGUCCACGGCUAGGGUUGUGACAUCAGCACAGCAGAAGGCUGGAAAGACCAUUACUGCUCGAAUCACUGGCCGAUCUGAUUUUGCACCCAGGAAUCGGAUUUACAGUAACCUCAAUGUGUUGGGUGUUUCUCCUCCUAUGAAUUCUGUUGUAGUGGAAAAACAUCAUCCAGUCACUCAACAAUAUGCAGUCAGCCAGUGGAGGUUUGAGGGUAUGGCGUAAGCUGCUGCCGCUGCCAGAGAAAGGAGUAUGCUGUUUUGAUGCAAAGCCAACUUUUGUCAAGGAGAACCAUAAAGCUGUUAUGCUUACUUUGAUUUAUGGUGAGACAAUUGCUUUGUUAUAAUUUGCUGCUACA
Elgaria multicarinata webbii is the source of this 1330-nucleotide long non-coding RNA. RefSeq lists it as uncharacterized. NCBI's taxonomy places the organism in Eukaryota, Metazoa, Chordata, Lepidosauria, Squamata, Anguidae. The transcript has 3 exons. The record is from RefSeq and is a predicted model, not a curated record.